This 29-nucleotide non-coding RNA is filed under the name Mus musculus (house mouse). The record is from RNAcentral. Lineage: Eukaryota; Metazoa; Chordata; Mammalia; Rodentia; Muridae.
UGUGCACGGGUGCUUUUCCUAUGACCUGA